This 641-nucleotide ribosomal RNA is filed under the name uncultured marine eukaryote. RNAcentral describes it as "bacterial SSU rRNA". It matches the Rfam family "Eukaryotic small subunit ribosomal RNA", at positions 623 to 1259 of the family's 1831-position model. The record is from RNAcentral.
AAAGCUCGUAGUUGGAUUUCUGAAUGGGUGCGGCGGCUCGGUGCUCUUACGAGCGUCUGAGAUCAGUUUGCAUCUGUUCAUCUUGCCACAAACUGCUCUGACCUUAAUUGGCCGGGGAUCAGGGAGUAGCUCGUUUACUUUGAGAAAAACAGAGUGUUCAAAGCAGGCUUAUGCCUUGAAUGAGUUAGCAUGGAAUAAUUUUAUAGGACUUUGGUUCUAUUUUGUUGGUUGUUAAAGGACCGAAGUAAUGAUUGAUAGGGACAGUUGGGGCCAUCUGUAUUCUGAAGCGAGAGGUGAAAUUCUUGGACCUUCGGAAGACAAACAACUGCGAAAGCAUUUGGCAAGGAUGUUCUCUUUAAUCAAGAACGAAAGUUGGGGGAUCGAAGACGAUCAGAUACCGUCGUAGUCUCAACUAUAAACUAUGCCGACUGGGGAUUGGUGGACGUGCUACUACAACGCCAUCAGCACCUUAUGAGAAAUCAAAGUAUUUGGGUUCCGGGGGGAGUAUGGUCGCAAGGCUGAAACUUAAAGGAAUUGACGGGAGGGCACCACCAGGAGUGGAGCCUGUGGCUCAAUUUGACUCAACACGGGAAAACUUACCAGGUCCAGACAUAGUGAGGAUUGACAGAUUGACAGCUCUU